GGGUGAGCGCAAAACCUAGAUUUUUAAGGUUUGUUCCUAAGGGUUUGGGAAGAGAGAAAAAUAAGAAGAAAAAGUGUUUCUUCUCCAUACUUCUCCCUCAUUCUCAUCUUCUUUAGAUAUCAUUCUUCAACCUCUGAAAAAGUUUGAAAGAUUUAAAAAAAAGAUCCAGAUCAGUCAACAAGAUUGUCUUCACACGAGCUAGCACUCUCGAGGAGCUGAUCAGAUCGGGGCUUCGAGUGGACUUUCUGUAGAGGCCAGACAUAUAUGCGACUGCGAGCAACCAAUGAGGAUCCUCUUUACCACAUCUAUCA
Molecule: long non-coding RNA, 311 nt
Filed under: Elaeis guineensis (African oil palm)
Lineage: Eukaryota; Viridiplantae; Streptophyta; Magnoliopsida; Arecales; Arecaceae
Description: long non-coding RNA (EGUI_LNC043309)
Source: RNAcentral